This 470-nucleotide ribosomal RNA is filed under the name uncultured bacterium. RNAcentral's name for it is "bacterial SSU rRNA". It matches the Rfam family "Bacterial small subunit ribosomal RNA", at positions 46 to 524 of the family's 1533-position model. The record is from RNAcentral.
GCCUAACACAUGCAAGUCGAACGGAGUAGCAAUACUUAAUAGGCAAACGGGUGCGUAACGCGUAAGCAACCUGCCUCAAACAGGGGGAUAGCCUGGCGAAAGCCGGGGUAAACCCGCAUGGUCCCAGAGCCUCACCUGAUGGUCUGGGUAAACAGUGAUGGGUUUGAGAGGGGCUUGCGUCUGAUUAGCUAGUUGGCAGGGUAACGGCCUACCAAGGCGGUGAUCAGUAGGGGUUCUGAGAGGAUUGGCCCCCACAUGGGUACUGAGAGACGGACCCAACUCCUACGGGAGGCAGCAGUAGGGAAUAUUGGGCAAUGGGCGCAAGCCUGACCCAGCCAUGCCGCGUGCCGGACGAAGGCGCUCAGCGUUGUAAACGGCUUUUACUCAUGAAGAACGUUGUUCCUGCGGGGGCAAGUGACGGUAAUGAGGGAAUCAGCACCGGCUAACUCCGUGCCAGCAGCCGCGGUAAU